This is a non-coding RNA of Vibrio sp. AND4, 95 nucleotides long. The record is from Rfam. NCBI's taxonomy places the organism in Bacteria, Pseudomonadati, Pseudomonadota, Gammaproteobacteria, Vibrionales, Vibrionaceae.
CUUGGCGACCAUAGCGAUUUGGACCCACCUGAUUUCCAUUCCGAACUCAGAAGUGAAACGAAUUAGCGUCGAUGGUAGUGUGGGGCUUCCCCAUG